UAUGGCUUGGGAGGAACUCUGAUGCAGCAACGCCGCGUGGAGGAUGACGCAUUUCGGUGUGUAAACUCCUUUUAUGAGUCAAGAAAAUGACGGUAGCUCAUGAAUAAGCACCGGCUAACUCCGUGCCAGCAGCCGCGGUAAUACGGAGGGUGCAAGCGUUACUCGGAAUCACUGGGCGUAAAGGACGCGUAGGCGGGUUGGAAAGUCAGGUGUGAAAUCCUACAGCUUAACUGUAGAACUGCACUUGAAACUUCUAAUCUAGAGUAUGGGAGGGGGAGAUGGAAUUAGUGGUGUAGGGGUAAAAUCCGUAGAUAUCACUAGGAAUACCCAAAGCGAAGGCGAUCUCCUGGAACAUAACUGACGCUAAGGCGUGAAAGCGUGGGGAGCAAACGGGAUUAGAUACCCCGGUAGUCCACGCCCUAAACGAUGAACACUAGUCGUCGUGAUGCUUGUCAUUGCGGUGAUGCACUUAACAGAUUAAGUGUUCCGCCUGGGGAGUACGGUCGCAAGAUUAAAACUCAAAGGAAUAGACGGGGACCCGCACAAGUGGUGGAGCAUGUGGUUUAAUUCGAAGAUACGCGAAGAACCUUACCUAGCCUUGACAUUGAUAGAAUCCCGCAGAGAUGUAGGAGUGCCCUUCGGGGAGCUUGAAAACAGGUGCUGCACGGCUGUCGUCAGCUCGUGUCGUGAGAUGUUGGGUUAAGUCCCGCAACGAGCGCAACCCUCGUCCUUAGUUGCCAGCAGGUUAAGCUGGGCACUCUAAGGAGUCUGCCUUCGCAAGAAGGAGGAAGGUGAGGACGACGUCAAGUCAUCAUGGCCCUUAUGGCUAGGGCUACACACGUGCUACAAUGGGGCGUACAGAGUGUUGCGAUACCGCGAGGUGGAGCCAAUCACUUAAAGCGUCUCUCAGUUCGGAUUGGAGUCUGCAACUCGACUCCAUGAAGCUGGAAUCACUAGUAAUCGUAGAUCAGCAAUGCUACGGUGAAUACGUUCCCGGGUCUUGUACUCACCGCCCGUCACACCAUGGGAGUUGACUUCACCCGAAAUUGGGAAGCUAACCUUCGGGAGGCUACCACUUACGGUGGAAUUAGCGACUGGGGUGAAGUCGUAACAAGGUAACCGUAGGAGAACCUGCGGCUGGAUCACCUCCUUUCU
Molecule: ribosomal RNA, 1155 nt
Filed under: uncultured bacterium
Lineage: Bacteria
Description: bacterial SSU rRNA
Rfam family: Bacterial small subunit ribosomal RNA
Source: RNAcentral